Non-coding RNA from Trichonephila inaurata madagascariensis, 75 nucleotides. The record is from the annotation of a GenBank genome assembly. NCBI's taxonomy places the organism in Eukaryota, Metazoa, Arthropoda, Arachnida, Araneae, Nephilidae.
GCGUCGGUGGUAUAACGGUUAGCAUAGCUGCCUUCCAGCGGAAGCUGACCCGGGUUCGACUCCUCGGCCGACGCA